UAGGGAAUAUUGGGCAAUGGAGGGAACUCUGACCCAGCCAUGCCGCGUGCAGGAUGAAGGCGUUAUGCGUUGUAAACUGCUUUUAUAUAGGAAGGAAUAGUCCUUGCGAGGAAAGUUGACGGUACUAUAUGAAUAAGCACCGGCUAACUCCGUGCCAGCAGCCGCGGUAAUACGGAGGGUGCAAGCGUUGUCCGGAUUUAUUGGGUUUAAAGGGUGCGUAGGCGGUUUAUUAAGUCAGUGGUGAAAGACGGUCGCUCAACGAUUGCAGUGCCAUUGAUACUGGUAGACUUGAGUAUGAUUGAGGUAGCUGGAAUGGAUAGUGUAGCGGUGAAAUGCAUAGAUAUUAUCCAGAACACCAAUUGCGUAGGCAAGUUACUAAGUCAUAACUGACGCUGAGGCACGAAAGUGUGGGUAUCAAACAGGAUUAGAUACCCCUGUAGUCCCUGAGCGGGCUGGCAAGGCGCAU
Molecule: ribosomal RNA, 466 nt
Filed under: uncultured bacterium
Lineage: Bacteria
Description: bacterial SSU rRNA
Rfam family: Bacterial small subunit ribosomal RNA
Source: RNAcentral